Molecule: unclassified non-coding RNA, 314 nt
Filed under: uncultured Ceratobasidiaceae
Lineage: Eukaryota; Fungi; Basidiomycota; Agaricomycetes; Cantharellales; Ceratobasidiaceae
Description: sequence contains 5.8S rRNA gene
Source: RNAcentral
GAACGCACCUUGCGCUCCUUGGUUAUUCCUUGGAGCAUGCCUGUUUGAGUAUCAUGAGCAAAUCUCAACGUCGAUUCCUUUUGUUAAUUCAAUUGGUUUUUUGCUUUGGACUUGGAGGCCUUGCAGAUUUCACGUCUGCUCCUCAUAAAUGCAUUAGCUGGAUCUCGGUAUUAUGCUUUGGUUCCACUCGGCGUGAUAAUUAUCACUCGCUGAGGACACUGUUAAAAAGGUGGCCAGGAAAAUGCUGAUUGAACCGCUUCUAAUUACCCUUAAGUUUGAUCUCAAAUCAGGUAGGACUACCCGCUGAACUUAAG